Molecule: small RNA, 112 nt
Filed under: Escherichia coli
Lineage: Bacteria; Pseudomonadati; Pseudomonadota; Gammaproteobacteria; Enterobacterales; Enterobacteriaceae
Also listed under: 1 other name
Description: partial RtT sRNA
Rfam family: RtT RNA
About the family: This family represents a bacterial cis-regulatory element known as RtT RNA. The exact function of RtT is unknown although it is thought that it may be involved in changing the cellular response in relation to amino acid starvation.
Source: RNAcentral
AUUCUGCCCAAGCGGAGAAGGAUGAGAAGCUUCGACUAAGGUUCGACUCGAGCGCCAGCGAGAGAGCGUUGCCGCAGGCAACGACCUGAAGGGCGAAGCGCGCAGCGCUGAG